UACAGAGGUGGCAAGCGUUGUUCGGAAUUACUGGGCGUAAAGAGCUCGUAGGUGGUUUGUCGCGUUGUCCGUGAAAACUCACAACUCAAUUGUGGGCGUGCGGGCGAUACGGGCAGACUGGAGUACUGCAGGGGAGACUGGAAUUCCUGGUGUAGCGGUGGAAUGCGCAGAUAUCAGGAGGAACACCGGUGGCGAAGGCGGGUCUCUGGGCAGUAACUGACGCUGAGGAGCGAAAGCGUGGGGAGCGAACAGG
RNAcentral lists this ribosomal RNA (253 nucleotides) under uncultured bacterium. Its description in RNAcentral is "partial 16S ribosomal RNA". It matches the Rfam family "Bacterial small subunit ribosomal RNA", at positions 524 to 776 of the family's 1533-position model. The record is from RNAcentral.